This 932-nucleotide ribosomal RNA is filed under the name fungal sp. LF5. RNAcentral describes it as "eukaryotic LSU rRNA". It matches the Rfam family "Eukaryotic large subunit ribosomal RNA", at positions 34 to 987 of the family's 3401-position model. Lineage: Eukaryota; Fungi. The record is from RNAcentral.
CUACAUAUCAAUGAAGCGGAGGAAGAACCAACAGGGAUUGCCUCAGUAACGGCGAGUGAAGCGGCAACAGCUCAAAUUUGAAAUCUGGCGCCUUCGGCGUCCGAGUUGUAAUUUGUAGAGGAUGCUUCGGCGUUGGCGCCGCCCAAAGUUCCUUGGAACGGGACGUCGCAGAGGGUGAGAGCCCCGUGUUCGGGCGGAUGCCUUCGCCGUGUGAAGCUCCUUCGACGAGUCGAGUUGUUUGGGAAUGCAGCUCAAAACGGGAGGUAAAUUUCUUCCAAAGCUAAAUACCGGCCGGAGACCGAUAGUGCACAAGUAGAGUGAUCGAAAGAUGAAAAGCACUUUGGAAAGAGAGUCAAACAGCGCGUGAAAUUGUUAAAAGGGAAGCGCUUGCGGUCAGAACUUGGCCGCCGUUGCUCGGGGAGGUCUCGCGCCUCCCUCGCUCUUCGGCGGCUGGGCCAGCAUCGGUUCGGGCGGCUCGAGAAAGGCCGUGGGAACGUGGCUCCCUCCGGGGAGUGUUAUAGCCCGCGGCGCAAUAGGGCCCGCCUGGAUCGAGGUCUGCGCAUCUGCUCGGAUGCUGGCGUAAUGGCCGCAAGCGGCCCGUCUUGAAACACGGACCAAGGAGUCUAACAUUCGUGCGAGUGUUCGGGCGUCAAACCCGUGCGCGUAAUGAAAGUGAACGUAGGUGGGAACCCCUCGUGGGCGCACCAUCGACCGAUCCUAAUGUCUUCGGAUGGAUUUGAGUAUGAGCACGUAUGUUGGGACCCGAAAGAUGGUGAACUAUGCCUAAACAGGGUGAAGCCAGAGGAAACUCUGGUGGAGGCUCGCAGCGGUUCUGACGUGCAAAUCGAUCGUCAAAUUCGGGCAUAGGGGCGAAAGACUAAUCGUCCAGCUGGUAGCUGGUUCUGCGUCUCUCUCUCUCAAGAGAGAGAACC